Molecule: non-coding RNA, 72 nt
Filed under: unclassified sequences
Source: RNAcentral
ACCCGCUAUGCGUCCGAGGUCCCGAAAGGGUCGGAGGUUUAUUGUUAGACCUGAGAGCGCUAAGGCGGGUUU